Mycena rebaudengoi is the source of this 93-nucleotide non-coding RNA. The record is from the annotation of a GenBank genome assembly. NCBI's taxonomy places the organism in Eukaryota, Fungi, Basidiomycota, Agaricomycetes, Agaricales, Mycenaceae.
GCUCUUUUAGAUGAGACGGUACAUCACCCAUUGCGCAUGCUUGAAUGCUAACAAUAAAAGUGGGAGUUGGAGGUUCAAAUCCCCCCAAGAGCA